UACAGAGGGUGCAAGCGUUAAUCGGAAUUACUGGGCGUAAAGCGCGCGUAGGCGGAUUGCUAAGUCAGGGGUGAAAUCCUGGAGCUCAACUCCAGAACUGCCUUUGAUACUGGCGACCUUGAGUCCGGGAGAGGUGAGUGGAACUGCGAGUGUAGAGGUGAAAUUCGUAGAUAUUCGCAAGAACACCAGUGGCGAAGGCGGCUCACUGGCCCGGUACUGACGCUGAGGUGCGAAAGCGUGGGGAGCAAACAGG
RNAcentral lists this ribosomal RNA (253 nucleotides) under uncultured bacterium. RNAcentral's name for it is "partial 16S ribosomal RNA". It matches the Rfam family "Bacterial small subunit ribosomal RNA", at positions 524 to 776 of the family's 1533-position model. The record is from RNAcentral.